AAGACUAUAGACCUGCGGAGUACCUGCGGAGGGAUCAUUAACGUGUCUAUGAUGGGGUGCGGAGCGCCCUGCUCCGGUCGAACGGCCGUGCAGUGGGUGCGCCGCCCCCGUCCCACCUCACAAACCCACUGUGAACAUUCACCGGUGGAGGGGGCUCGGUCUGCGCCGUGUCCCCGAUGCCGAAUACCCAAACUCCAGCUGCAAAGAACGUCGUGCGGACUCGGUGCCGCCUAAAACAUG
RNAcentral lists this unclassified non-coding RNA (240 nucleotides) under soil metagenome. RNAcentral's name for it is "partial contains 5.8S ribosomal RNA, internal transcribed spacer 2, and large subunit ribosomal RNA". The record is from RNAcentral.